This 497-nucleotide ribosomal RNA is filed under the name Staphylococcus hominis subsp. novobiosepticus. RNAcentral's name for it is "bacterial SSU rRNA". It matches the Rfam family "Bacterial small subunit ribosomal RNA", at positions 48 to 525 of the family's 1533-position model. The record is from RNAcentral. Lineage: Bacteria; Bacillati; Bacillota; Bacilli; Caryophanales; Staphylococcaceae.
GCUAUACAUGCAAGUCGAGCGAACAGACGAGGAGCUUGCUCCUUUGACGUUAGCGGCGGACGGGUGAGUAACACGUAGGUAACCUACCUAUAAGACUGGGAUAACUUCGGGAAACCGGAGCUAAUACCGGAUAAUAUUUCGAACCGCAUGGUUCGAUAGUGAAAGAUGGCUUUGCUAUCACUUAUAGAUGGACCUGCGCCGUAUUAGCUAGUUGGUAAGGUAACGGCUUACCAAGGCAACGAUACGUAGCCGACCUGAGAGGGUGAUCGGCCACACUGGAACUGAGACACGGUCCAGACUCCUACGGGAGGCAGCAGUAGGGAAUCUUCCGCAAUGGGCGAAAGCCUGACGGAGCAACGCCGCGUGAGUGAUGAAGGUCUUCGGAUCGUAAAACUCUGUUAUUAGGGAAGAACAAACGUGUAAGUAACUGUGCACGUCUUGACGGUACCUAAUCAGAAAGCCACGGCUAACUACGUGCCAGCAGCGGCCGGGUAAUA